RNAcentral lists this transfer RNA (115 nucleotides) under Colletotrichum orbiculare MAFF 240422. Its description in RNAcentral is "tRNA-Undet for anticodon ???". It matches the Rfam family "tRNA". Rfam says of the family: Transfer RNA (tRNA) molecules are approximately 80 nucleotides in length. The record is from Rfam by way of RNAcentral. Lineage: Eukaryota; Fungi; Ascomycota; Sordariomycetes; Glomerellales; Glomerellaceae.
GGGGCGGUGGUCUAGUGGUCAUGUCGCUCUGUCUUGUAUCGUUAUCCGUACACCUAAAACCUAUAACCUCUACCUAAAGACAGAGAGGUCGGUGGUUCGAAUCCAUCCCGCUCCA